Molecule: transfer RNA, 92 nt
Filed under: Pseudomonadota bacterium
Lineage: Bacteria; Pseudomonadati; Pseudomonadota
Description: Proteobacteria bacterium (hot springs metagenome) tRNA-Ser
Rfam family: tRNA
About the family: Transfer RNA (tRNA) molecules are approximately 80 nucleotides in length.
Source: RNAcentral
GGAGAGUUGGCCGAGCGGCUGAAGGCGCCACCCUGCUAAGGUGGUAUAGGGCGAUUUCCCUAUCGAGGGUUCGAAUCCCUCACUCUCCGCCA